CAUCCUACAUGUGAUUCCUCUUUCCCUCCUUAAAGGGAAUAAAAACCUGCUGAGAGCUUUCCGCCAUCUUGGAGCCUGUGGCGGUCUCCUGGGAACAAGACUUCUAAAAGGCAAAUAUGUCUGGAAGGCUGUGGUCGAAGGCCAUUUUUGCUGGCUAUAAGCUCGGUCUCCGGAACCAAAGAGAGCACACAGCUCUUCUUAAAAUUGAAGGUGUUUAUGCCCGAGAUGAAACUGAAUUCUAUUUGGGCAAGAGAUGUGCUUAUGUAUACAAAGCAAAGAACAACAACAGUGACUCCUGGGGGCAAACCAAACAAAACCAGAGUAAUCCGGGGAAAGGUAACUCGGGCCCACGGAAACAGUGGCAUGGUUCGUGCCAAAUUCCGAAGCAACCUUCCUGCUAAGGCCAUUGGACACAGAAUCCGUGUGAUGCUGUACCCUUCAAGAAUUUAAACUGAUGAAAAGUAAAUAAAUAAAAGUGGAUUUCUACGCCUG
Non-coding RNA from Microcebus murinus (gray mouse lemur), 492 nucleotides. NCBI's taxonomy places the organism in Eukaryota, Metazoa, Chordata, Mammalia, Primates, Cheirogaleidae. The record is from RefSeq and is a predicted model, not a curated record.